CCCCUCUCAGAAUUGCACCUGGAGAGUUUCCAGUACUCUACCAGUUUGAGCUUCGGGAGGGAAAAUCAAGCAGAGUAUGCCUCUACCCAUUCCAUUCCUAGCUUGAGCAGUGGCUAGUGAUUGGAAGGAAAUCUGCUAUAGGU
This is a small nucleolar RNA of Tachyglossus aculeatus (Australian echidna), 143 nucleotides long. The record is from RefSeq and is a predicted model, not a curated record. NCBI's taxonomy places the organism in Eukaryota, Metazoa, Chordata, Mammalia, Monotremata, Tachyglossidae.